Non-coding RNA from Zea mays, 109 nucleotides. The record is from Rfam. NCBI's taxonomy places the organism in Eukaryota, Viridiplantae, Streptophyta, Magnoliopsida, Poales, Poaceae.
ACUCUAAUAUUGACUUCAAUCCACAUGUGUUGAGAUGGAUUAGUGUGUAAUUUAAACUAAUUUAUACCGCAAUUCAUCUCAACACAUGUGGAUUGAUGUCAAUACUAGA